AUUUUAAUAGCUUAUUUUUAAAGCAUAAUAUUGAAGAUAUUAAGAAAGUAAUUUUACUUUAAAGUAUU
This 68-nucleotide transfer RNA is filed under the name Wakarumbia montana. Its description in RNAcentral is "tRNA-Phe". Lineage: Eukaryota; Metazoa; Arthropoda; Insecta; Coleoptera; Lycidae. The record is from RNAcentral.